RNAcentral lists this transfer RNA (74 nucleotides) under Cyanobacteria bacterium QS_8_64_29. RNAcentral describes it as "tRNA-Lys". It matches the Rfam family "tRNA". Rfam says of the family: Transfer RNA (tRNA) molecules are approximately 80 nucleotides in length. Their secondary structure includes four short double-helical elements and three loops (D, anti-codon, and T loops). Lineage: Bacteria; Bacillati; Cyanobacteriota. The record is from RNAcentral.
GGGUCGGUAGCUCAGCCUGGUAGAGCACUCGGCUUUUAACCGAUUGGUCCAGGGUUCGAAUCCCUGCCGACCCA